AGAGUUUGAUCCUGGCUCAGAUUGAACGCUGGCGGCAUGCCUUACACAUGCAAGUCGAACGGCAGCACGGACUUCGGUCUGGUGGCGAGUGGCGAACGGGUGAGUAAUGUAUCGGAACGUACCUUUCAGUGGGGGAUAACGUAGCGAAAGUUACGCUAAUACCGCAUAUUCUGUGAGCAGGAAGGCAGGGGAUCGCAAGACCUUGCGCUGAUUGAGCGGCCGAUAUCAGAUUAGCUAGUUGGUGAGGUAAAGGCUCACCAAGGCGACGAUCUGUAGCGGGUCUGAGAGGAUGAUCCGCCACACUGGAACUGAGACACGGUCCAGACUCCUACGGGAGGCAGCAGUGGGGAAUUUUGGACAAUGGGGGCAACCCUGAUCCAGCCAUGCCGCGUGAGUGAAGAAGGCCUUCGGGUUGUAAAGCUCUUUCGGCCGGGAAGAAAUCGCAUAGGUUAGUACCCUGUGUGGAUGACGGUACCGGAAUAAGAAGCACCGGCUAACUACGUGCCAGCAGCCGCGGUAAUACGUAGGGUGCGAGCGUUAAUCGGAAUUACUGGGCGUAAAGCGUGCGCAGGCGGUUUCGUAAGACAGAGGUGAAAUCCCCGGGCUCAACCUGGGAACUGCCUUUGUGACUGCGAAGCUAGAGUACGGCAGAGGGGGGUGGAAUUCCACGUGUAGCAGUGAAAUGCGUAGAGAUGUGGAGGAACACCAAUGGCGAAGGCAGCCCCCUGGGUCGAUACUGACGCUCAUGCACGAAAGCGUGGGUAGCAAACAGGAUUAGAUACCCUGGUAGUCCGCGCCCUAAACGAUGUCAACUAGGUGUUGGGUGGGUAAAACCAUUUAGUACCGGAGCUAACGCGUGAAGUUGACCGCCUGGGGAGUACGGCCGCAAGGUUAAAACUCAAAGGAAUUGACGGGGACCCGCACAAGCGGUGGAUGAUGUGGAUUAAUUCGAUGCAACGCGAAAAACCUUACCUACCCUUGACAUGUCCAGAAGCCCGAAGAGAUUUGGGUGUGCCCGAAAGGGAGCUGGAACACAGGUGCUGCAUGGCUGUCGUCAGCUCGUGUCGUGAGAUGUUGGGUUAAGUCCCGCAACGAGCGCAACCCUUGUCGUUAAUUGCCAUCAUUUAGUUGGGCACCUUAACGAGACUGCCGGUGACAAACCGGAGGAAGGUGGGGAUGACGUCAAGUCCUCAUGGCCCUUAUGGGUAGGGCUUCACACGUCAUACAAUGGUCGGUACAGAGGGUUGCCAAGCCGCGAGGUGGAGCCAAUCCCAGAAAGCCGAUCGUAGUCCGGAUCGUAGGCUGCAACUCGCCUGCGUGAAGUCGGAAUCGCUAGUAAUCGCGGAUCAGCAUGUCGCGGUGAAUACGUUCCCGGGUCUUGUACACACCGCCCGUCACACCAUGGGAGCGGGUUCCGCCAGAAGUAGGUAGCCUAACCGCAAGGGGGGCGCUUACCACGGCGGGGUUCGUGACUGGGGGGAAGUCGUAACAAGGUAGCCGUA
This 1502-nucleotide ribosomal RNA is filed under the name uncultured bacterium. RNAcentral describes it as "bacterial SSU rRNA". It matches the Rfam family "Bacterial small subunit ribosomal RNA". The record is from RNAcentral.